This 72-nucleotide transfer RNA is filed under the name Bos taurus (domestic cattle). It matches the Rfam family "tRNA". From Rfam's summary of the family: Transfer RNA (tRNA) molecules are approximately 80 nucleotides in length. Their secondary structure includes four short double-helical elements and three loops (D, anti-codon, and T loops). The record is from Rfam by way of RNAcentral. Lineage: Eukaryota; Metazoa; Chordata; Mammalia; Artiodactyla; Bovidae. RNAcentral also lists the same sequence under 3 other names.
UCCCUUCUGGCUCAGCUGGUAAAGAAUCUGCCUGCAAUGCGGGAGACCUGGGUUCGAUCCCUGGGUUGGGAA